ACCUCAUAUGUGCUCCAACGAAUCUAUAUAACUUCAUAAAUCUCUUUCAAAAUCUAACACCCAACAUCGUACUUUUAUCAAAUUUUUAUCAUAAUUAUUUUCAAAAUAAAAAUCUUAAAUCCUCUCAGGCCUGGCUAUGCCGUAGCCCUACAUUUAAUCAUUUAAUCUAGGACAUCAAAUUGAUCAACUACAAAUCAAAGAUUAUGCUACAAUGCUAGGAUAUAAUUGAUGAUGAAAUCUUUUAAUGCUCGAUCCGAUCAAAAUGGAGACCAACAAACUAUCCAACAAUCAAUGAUCAAAAUCCUUUUACCAGGAUCUAUCAAAGCUAUCAGAGUCUUUCUAAGAUCCAAAAAAUUCUAGAAAAGAGAUAUAAUUCCGAAAGAGACACUUUUAGAGAGAGAAAUUUGUAAAGAGAGAAAGUGAGAUUUUUUUCUAGAGAGAAAGUAGAAAGAAAGUGGAAAGAGAAAAUAAUAGAAGCAUGUAAAGAGAGAGAAGAGAGAGAAGGAAGAGAGAGAAUCUGUAUCUCUCUAUAUUUUUUCUUU
RNAcentral lists this long non-coding RNA (542 nucleotides) under Elaeis guineensis (African oil palm). RNAcentral describes it as "long non-coding RNA (EGUI_LNC012965)". The record is from RNAcentral. Lineage: Eukaryota; Viridiplantae; Streptophyta; Magnoliopsida; Arecales; Arecaceae.